CCACACAGUUGGCUGUUGCAGAUCCAGCCCCGUGGAUACCAGAGAAGAGGCUCUGUGGUGUUUACAGACAUGCUCCACUCUAUCUGGCCCGUGUCUGUGCGGUCAGUCCUCCAGGAUGACGACGUCCACUUAGCUCUCGGCACCCAUCUCCACGGCUGUCUCGUGGACCGGCCCUGCUGCUCCCUCCUGUUGCUCCCAUGCUUUCUCUACGGCUGUCUCCCGCUCAGCUCUUGGGUCCCCACUUCCCUGUCACUGUCUAUCAGAGUCUGUUUGUCCUCUGAGGCCUCUUUCAUCCUCCCAGUGGGGGUAGAUUCAUAAACCCUACCCGUUAGUAUCUAACCCAGUGUUUUGCACGUCGUAGUUCCCUCAAUAAACAUCCUUUCACUUUUUUGCAUGUGUCUCAUGUAUGGAAAGGAAGCUUGACUUAGAGAUUAAAGUCAAUCAAAUUA
Mesocricetus auratus (golden hamster) is the source of this 449-nucleotide long non-coding RNA. RefSeq lists it as uncharacterized. NCBI's taxonomy places the organism in Eukaryota, Metazoa, Chordata, Mammalia, Rodentia, Cricetidae. The record is from RefSeq and is a predicted model, not a curated record. The transcript is spliced from 2 exons.